Molecule: long non-coding RNA, 2791 nt
Organism: Lycium ferocissimum
Lineage: Eukaryota; Viridiplantae; Streptophyta; Magnoliopsida; Solanales; Solanaceae
Exons: 2
Source: RefSeq, a predicted model, not a curated record
GCAUUUGUUAAAUAUAUAAUUGAAAAUGAAAUCAUUAAUGCAGAUAUUAUUAGCUUCUUUCAGAAAUUUUCUAAAGCUUUUUACUGUUAAGGAUGUGGAUAGUGGGAUCAAUCUUUCAUCUCUACUAUUUAUCCCUUUCAAAGUAUGCAAAAGAUAUCAAUGGAGUAGAAUGCCACAACUCAACAAAGAAUUUAGCAAUUUGAACCUAAAUGUUUUGAGUAUUAUCUGGAUUAUGCAAAUCCUUUGGCUCUCUGUUGUAUCUUCAUUUUUCCGCGGCUUUCGCCUUUGGUUGUAUUUCUUCUUCUCGUGUGUUAGCACUUUAGCUAAUGACAGGAAGGGAACUUUCUUUCUUUUAAUAAAGUUUUUUGAUGUUAGGUUGAUUAUCAUUUGGGAAAAUCUACUCAAAUUUUAAUGCUAGAGUAGAAUCAAGUUCAUUCAACGAUCCAGUAAGAGAUCGAUGUUAGUGGUAAUCCUAAUAAUAUAUUCAUAAGGGAAUUCCCCCCACCCCGUAAAUUACAGACGUUCUAAUUUCAAUAUUUAUAGUACUCCUGAUUUCUUCUUCUUUCUCCUAAACUCAUCAUUUUCAAAUUGGUGCUGUAUUUCCGUCAUUGUGUUUCAGAGUUUUUUUUAUUCUUUGACUUUACUUUAGCAGAUGAUGAGGUACUCGGAUUCCCCUUCAAGACAUCAUGGGUGAUGCAAAAACCGAGUUUCUGAUGCACUAUUUAUUUAUGAGAUGUUUGGAGUUUUUUAUCUUUACCUUUACGUUAUUUGGUGUUUGUUUCUGCUUCAAGAGGAUGAACAGUCUAUUCUUCAGUUUUCUAUUCUGCCGCCAAUUAAAUUGCUUCAGGCCAUCUGACCUCUCUGUUAUACCACUUUGCCCUUCGCAAUCCUCUUUCGGACUGUUUGGGAAUCACGGUAUUUUGGGUCCCUUUGCUUCUAAGGUAAGUUUCUCUUUCUUCUCCUUUCAUAAUUCCUGUACAAUGUUCUUCGUUUUCUAUCUCUUUUGAUUUACUCAUUCUUCAUUAGUAUGCAUGUAGUAUUAUAAUAAUUAAUUGAGUCUUGAUGCAUUCCCUACCCAAUGAAUGUAAUGCGCCUCUCGAUUUUCCAAGUUGUUUCACAUAUAGGAAUUUUUGGACUGUACGACACUAUGCUGGAAUCUCACUUGUAAGAGUACAAACUUUAAGAACAAAUGUUGGAGUAUUAACUAUGGCUAUUUUCCGAUUAGUUUACCGCGUUUAAAUUGUGACUAUUUUUCAAUGGCUUGGCAAUGCUGACUAUAGAUCAACAAACUGUCCAAAAGUGGCUAUUUCUUAGGAUUACCCCAUUUUCGUGAAGCUGUGAAGUUGAUGCAGAACAAUAAUAUUUAAAAGCCAACAUUUAAGUUAGCCAAGUACCUAUAUGCUACUGAGAAGAAAUUGUCACGUUUAAGUUGAUGCAGAUCAAUAACAUGGAAAUGAGAAUCUCUAUUAAUCCCAACUUUGUUCUACAUACAACCUUUGUACAAGUUAACUAGGUGGAUUUGGUAGAAAAAUCACAUUAAAGGUUACAAUGUGAAUAUUUCAAUGAAAUUGAAAUGAUGUCAAACAUGUUAGGACGACCCAAAUCUUGAGACCAUAAAAAUUGGAUUUUGAUGAUUUUGAGACAAUGAUUAGGUUCCACAGAGUCGAUGGCCUUUUUUCAAUAAAAUGUUGGCUUUAAUUCCUGAGUUUCUAAGUAGGGAAUACUAAGAAAAUUAGCUAACGUGUUCCUUUAAAGAAAAUUGCAGAUUCCUGAUUCUGUAUAAACAGGGAGGAGGCAGCAAGAUAAAGUCAUGAGGAAGAGAUGCAGGAGUCCAUUGGCAGUCAUGCUCUUAUAUGUUUUCCUUUUCACUUCCUUUAAAAGUACUUCCUCGGAGCCUAACGAACUAGCUUCUCUGUUUGAACGGUAGUAUUUCUUAAAUUUUCAGCAUUUUUACACAGAUAGUGUGUCUCCCCUACUCAUUCUCUUCCUUUUCUUUUCUUCGCACAUGGCUACUAAACCAUUUCAUAUUAUGCAUGACAAAAAUACUAUCAAGAGCUUCAGCCAAAUUAAUUCAACUAUGACAGUGGAUGUCAACCAUCUCCCAAUGGCUUUUCCUAAAGCAAGUCUGUUUUCUAUUAUUGACAUGACUCAUAGCCGAAUAGGUAUCGAAACAGAACAAAAGGAGCAAAAUCGACAGACUUAUGAAGUAUAGACUCCGCGUGUGGUCCAGUGGAGGUUUGUGUUGUGUUUUCUGAAUGUGAUAGCCAAGUUGAUAUCAUUUGCGCAUCUUCUUUUCGUUGACCGUCAUCUAUGAGUGAGGAUGUUGGGAUUGGGAAUGUCGGACUUCACAAGAAGAGGUGACCGAUUUGCUCAGCAGUUCCUUCCUUCCUAGGAAUGGCUAUGAGCAGUCAAGCAGAAUGUUCAACUUUAUAAAUCCCUAAAAGGAGGAAUAAUUUUCAUGAUGUUGCAGAAACAUGUACAAUUGUUUCAUUUCUUUGGCGUUCAAUACAGACAUUGUUGAGCAAACUGUGCAGUAGAAGAUAUUAAUUAGAUGGAGAGGAACUGGGGUAAAAUUGGGUUGCUGAAGCCUGCGGAAAUAUCAGGAUCAAAUGUUGACUAUCAAGAAAUAAGCACCGCUUCUGUGACGCAGGAGGGCUCGGGCUAUUGCUUAACAUCAAUGUUUCUCAUGUACUAUAAUAUUGGAAAAUCUCUAUUUGCUGGAACUUUUGAUUUUACCAAAAUAUAGGAAUUUGCUUUGUGUAAAAGUUUAAUAUUGAUAUGGAUUCUCUGA